RNAcentral lists this ribosomal RNA (308 nucleotides) under uncultured bacterium. RNAcentral's name for it is "partial 16S ribosomal RNA". It matches the Rfam family "Bacterial small subunit ribosomal RNA", at positions 505 to 807 of the family's 1533-position model. The record is from RNAcentral.
GAGACAGCAGUCGCCACGGUAAUACGAAGGUCCCGAGCGUUGUUCGGAAUCACUGGGCGUAAAGGGAGCGUAGGCGGCGUGGUAAGUCAGAUGUGAAAUCCCGGGGCUCAACCCCGGAACUGCAUCCGAUACUGCCAUGCUAGAGGAUUGGAGAGGUAGCUGGAAUUCUUGGUGUAGCAGUGAAAUGCGUGGAGAUCAAGAGGAACACUCGUGGCGAAAGCGAGCUACUGGACAAUAACUGACGCUGAGGCUCGAAGGCCAGGGUAGCGAAAGGGAUUAGAUACCCCCGUAGUCCCUGUCUCUUAUAC